GAGGGGUUGCUCAAAUUGCAAAAACAAAUUUGACAACAAUAACAUCACUUUUUUACGUUUCUCUGUCAAGCAUGUUUAAAUCUUACAAACAUCGCUUGAUUGUGGCCGAUGUGAGACCUGCAUGUUUUAAUCAGGUUGAGGAAACAUGAAUGUUAUAGUUGAUGUUUCAGAAAAAAGGAAGAUGUUUGAGAACCAACAAAACACAGACCACAGAUGAACAAAGUGAUGUGGCACUAGGAGACUUUAUACCAGAUGCCCUCCCUGUUACUGUGUUUAGAGGAAGAAAAGCAGCACAUGGCAGAGACCAGAGCUUCUUCACUGGAAUAAAUCUUCACACUGUCCAGCUCCAAACUGUGUGUCUCUGUCCCUGUGCUCUCUUUGUGUUUGAUUCUGUUUAAGACAAUACAGAACUGUAGAAA
Boleophthalmus pectinirostris (great blue-spotted mudskipper) is the source of this 419-nucleotide long non-coding RNA. RefSeq lists it as uncharacterized. NCBI's taxonomy places the organism in Eukaryota, Metazoa, Chordata, Actinopteri, Gobiiformes, Gobiidae. The record is from RefSeq and is a predicted model, not a curated record. The transcript has 3 exons.